RNAcentral lists this ribosomal RNA (437 nucleotides) under Cyerce nicholasi. Its description in RNAcentral is "partial 16S ribosomal RNA". It matches the Rfam family "Bacterial large subunit ribosomal RNA", at positions 1829 to 2595 of the family's 2925-position model. The record is from RNAcentral. Lineage: Eukaryota; Metazoa; Mollusca; Gastropoda; Caliphyllidae.
AGCCUAAAGUUUUAUUUUAGGUGAUACCUGCCCAGUGCCAAAUUGUAAACGGCCGCAGUACCUUGACUGUGCUAAGGUAGCAUAAUCAGUUGGCUUUUAAAUGGAGUCGGGAAUGAAUGGGGUAAUGGGGUUAAGCUGUCUCCAAUAUAUUAAUUUUAAUUUGACUAUUAGGUGAAAAUGCCUACUAAUAGAAAAAAGACGAGAAGACCCUAGGAGUUUUUAUUAAAGAGUUAUUAAGGUUAACUUACCAUUUUUGUUGGGGCGACAUAGGAGGACCAACUCUAACCUCCUUUUUAUAUGUGCCGACUCUGUAUGAAAAUCUAAACUACCCUAGGGAUAACAGCGUAAUUUUAAUUUAAGUUUGCGACCUCGAUGUUGGACUAGGAAUUUGGUGGACUAGCCGUCUAUUUUUAUUGUUCUGUUCGAACUAUUUUUCC